ACACGCAUGACACACUGCAUAUCAAUAAGCGGAGGAAAAGAAACUAACAAGGAUUCCCUUAGUAACGGCGAGUGAAGCGGGAAGAGCUCAAAUUUGAAAUCUUCAAGGUUCUACCUUGACGAAUUGUAGUUUAUAGAAGUGUUUUCUGUUAGUAGAGUGGCAAAAGUUCUUUGGAAUAGGACAUCAUAGAGGGUGAGAAUCCCGUAUUUGGUCAUUCUUUCUAGCUUUGUGAUACACUUUCAACGAGUCGGAUUGUUUGGGAAUGCAGUCCAAAAUGGGUGGUAAAUUUCAUCUAAAGCUAAAUAUUGGCGAGAGACCGAUAGCGAACAAGUACCGUGAGGGAAAGAUGAAAAGAACUUUGAAAAGAGAGUUAAACAGUACGUGAAAUUGUCAAAAGGGAAGCGUUUGACACCAGUGUUGUUUUUCCGAAAAUCAAUUACGAAUGUUUUGUUUUUGAGGAGUUAUGACUUCAUCGGCUUGCUUCUCUCUUUACGAAACUUUCUUAAUGCACUUUUCGGUUAACAAGUCAACAUCAAUUUCUUUUGUUGUAAAAGGGUAUGAGGAAGGUGGCUUUCUUUUCGGAGAAAGUGUUUAUAGCCUUGUGCCUCUGCAAUCGGAGAGAUUGAGGUCUGCAGCGUAGAUCCUUCGGGGUUAGAUACAUUUGUGCUAAGUUAUAGCCUUUCAUAGACAACUUGUUGACUAUGAUCAGUCAUGUAGCUUACUCGCUUAUGUCUAUUUUACCUACGCUUAGGAUGUUGA
RNAcentral lists this ribosomal RNA (759 nucleotides) under uncultured Neocallimastigales. RNAcentral's name for it is "partial large subunit ribosomal RNA". It matches the Rfam family "Eukaryotic large subunit ribosomal RNA", at positions 23 to 629 of the family's 3401-position model. The record is from RNAcentral. Lineage: Eukaryota; Fungi; Neocallimastigomycota; Neocallimastigomycetes; Neocallimastigales.